Molecule: long non-coding RNA, 1771 nt
Organism: Parus major (Great Tit)
Lineage: Eukaryota; Metazoa; Chordata; Aves; Passeriformes; Paridae
Exons: 6
Source: RefSeq, a predicted model, not a curated record
AUUUUUUCAGCACCGCUAUAGCCAGAGGCUGUUUUUGGGAACAUGGCUCUUGUGUAACAGAUUUGCAGAGCUAUGCUGGAAUGCAUGUCAUUAUACUGUCUGGGCACCUCAGCUGUGAAGAUAGAAGACAAGCAGUAAUCCCUAUGAAUGGCAGCUGAACAUUUCUGCAGAAAACUCGCAGAUAACAGGGCCAUGAAUAUGAAGAUAAUUAAGGAAGACCUCUACAUCCAUGCUACAUGUGAGAGUAUGAAGACACCCAUCAGUACCUUGACUUUUCUCAGCUGAUAGCUGACUUGACUACUUUGCUGAGGUCUUUGGUUUCAUACAUAUUUUCAGCAGCUGAGCACUUCCUAGUAUCUGCAUAAGGGUUCUUUUAGGGUUCUUCAUGGGACCAGGACACUGCACAGAGCAUGAAGCAAUCGUGGAGCUGGAGAGAUCUGACUGUCCUGAAUGUCAGCUUCAAAGUAAGUGCUCAGUGGCUUAUGAGAAAUGGAGCUUGCCUCUGAGUGCCUCAAUAUGCUGAGAGGACAAGCUUGCCUUGAAAAAAAUGGAAAAUAAACAGCAACGAUGAAGCAGUGCCCUCCUUUGCAUCCAACUCUAAAAGCAAGUGGCUGAUGCUCCAGGAACAUUGCCAGGGUUAUCUCCUUGUGGGAUUUUACUUUCAAGGAAGCUGUAAUCAAGCUACUUUUAUACAGCUCCUCUGUACGUUGCUGUUCCUUGCCAAGAGUCAAAUUUUAAAUUCCUGGAAAAACGGAACUCCACAUGCCACCACGUGGACAUACACCAUCAAAUGGUAAUUUAAAAUCUGCCUAUUCCUUUCUCUUCAUGAUCUUAGCAUGCUGCUUGUGACUUUUCCCUUUCUUCCUAGGUACAAGAGUUAGGGUAAGGCACAAGCCUGAUAACUCUUAUGUGAUAAAUGGCCCAGCCAAAACCAAUGACAAUGCCCGAGGAUCUGGAGAACUCUUGUGUGGAACUGUAAGCACAGACCUUCUGCUGCCUAAGAAUCUGUAAAGCAGAUUUAGUUGCUUUAAAAAGACAGCUGGACUCUUAUCACCUGCUGUGCUUGUGUUCUUCCCAUCACUGUUGAUAUAACUUAGAUUGGAAUCUGAGUCUCUAAUAAAACAUUUGAGUGUUUUAUUUUGCAUUUUAUUUUGUUGUGUUUUUUUAAUGCACAUCAAAGUCAUUCAUAAUUCCCAGAAUUUUCUACACUGAACUGUUUGGUUAAGCAAAGACUCUAGUGAUGGUGUGAAUUAUUUAUUUAUACUGUCUACUUUUAAGUUGGGGCCAACAUUAAUUUGGCUGGGUCACUGGCAUUGUGGAUUUAAUUGCCAUGUAAAUAUCUGUGGAGCCUAUGUCUUUAAUUAGUGCACUAAAUUCUACACAUUUGAUGAAUAAAAUAUACUCAUUUUGACAUUUUAAAACAGUUAUUUUAUUAAUGAAGAAUUUAUCAGUGUUAUGCCAAUUCCCUUGCCUUUUGUUAAUUAUAUGCCUCUCUUGCAUUUUCUGAUAUGUUAAUUUUGUUUGGUAUAAAUAUUUGUCCUCAUUAAGAUGAAUACAUUGUCAAUGUUGACUCACUCUUUUCCUCCCAACAGAUAACUUAAAUAGGACUUCAUUUUUUUUCAUCUUAUUACUCUUUCUGAUUUGUAAGAAUCAUCUAGCUCUACUCCAUAAAAUCCUGUUCACCUAAGGAAUGGCCUAGCUUUCUCUACGUGGUAUGCAUGCCAUGUUGAAAAGGAUAUUGGAUAGGAUUUAGCUAGCUAUGUUUUUUACA